UGUGUCUUUAGGUUUUUGUUGCUCCUUAAAUAGCUUUUUUGUGCUGCUAGAGUUUAAGCACUGCUGGAACUCUGUCAAUUCUUGACCUUAUUUUUUUUCUUGCCUAAGUAAGGAAAACUCCCAGCUAAUUGUAAGAGUGCUCUGUUGCCAUCACAAAAGAUCCUCUUUUUUGGGAGUAAAACUGAAUUUCCGGUGUGAGAUCAUCAGGUUCAAGAAAAGAAGAAAUAGAAAUGCUCUUAAAAAAUAACUGAGGCAGACAGAAGUGUAAGAAUUGGGGAUUGUCUGGCAUGUAGUCAGAUUGUCAGUCAUGGCGAGGCAUGAGCAACACAGGCUCUGCAGCUGCAGGCUGGAAAAAAUCGUAUGAAUGGAAAUUAGCAUACAGAGUUCUCAUCAGUCCUUCUGGGGAUUUUUUCUCUUCUCCAGCAUUGACAAGUGCAAAUUAGAGGACUCUUCAGAUUGAGUGGUACCUUUAACUGGGAAUAAAAGCAAUGAUUUAAAACAGGAUGAAAACCCUAAUAAAAGAAAGCAGUCAAAUGAUGGUGUUUCUGCAAGAUACGAGACAUCUACAAAAAUGAUAACCAUUUAUUCUUCAUCAAAUAUAUAUGCAAAAGUCACUACUUGGGACAAGGUGAGGAAGGAGAACCUUUACCUAGAACCCUUUGGAGCAAAAACCCCAUACUGAAUUGAUUUUUAACAUGGGAACUUGAACAGAGAGAGGUAAAGAAGACUUCGGGUCACUGACAGCAGCCCACAGAGAGAUAACAUCUUUCAUACAUUAUAGAAUAAGUUUAACUGAAAAUCAGAAAAUUGUGAAGAAUUCUGUGCUGUAUGCAUAUUGAAUAAAGCCCAUGUUGUAUUGAGGUCCACCA
Non-coding RNA from Meleagris gallopavo (turkey), 869 nucleotides. Lineage: Eukaryota; Metazoa; Chordata; Aves; Galliformes; Phasianidae. The record is from RefSeq and is a predicted model, not a curated record.